Molecule: long non-coding RNA, 358 nt
Filed under: Mytilus galloprovincialis (Mediterranean mussel)
Lineage: Eukaryota; Metazoa; Mollusca; Bivalvia; Mytilida; Mytilidae
Source: RNAcentral
AAUAUAAAUCUUAGUGAAUUAACUCUUUAAAAUAAAAAGUCAUUUUACCUUUUAUUUUAGUAAGUCAAUUGUCUUAUUUCUAUAUGUAGAAUAAAAUUAAAGCGUAAGAUAAUCCAAGCUUUAUAUUAAUAAGAUAUAUUUACAUGUAAAUGAAUUGCGGUUUCUACGGGACAUAUCUUGGUUUACAUAAAACAAAUUAUUUAAACUGAAACACUGUCAAAUCGACAAAAAUUUUCUGAAAAUGUGUAGCCUUGAUACAUGUAGGUACACGUGUCACACGUAUUUCUCAUUUGUACGUGAUAACAAAUAUAAACAUAUAAAGUGGGACGGUUAAAUUGUGAUGGAUGAUUCGUAGUUG